This 448-nucleotide ribosomal RNA is filed under the name uncultured Rhodocyclaceae bacterium. RNAcentral describes it as "bacterial SSU rRNA". It matches the Rfam family "Bacterial small subunit ribosomal RNA", at positions 933 to 1382 of the family's 1533-position model. The record is from RNAcentral. Lineage: Bacteria; Pseudomonadati; Pseudomonadota; Betaproteobacteria; Rhodocyclales; Rhodocyclaceae.
UGGAUGAUGUGGUUUAAUUCGAUGCAACGCGAAAACCUUACCACCUUUGACAUGUACGGAACUCGCCAGAGAUGGCUUGGUGCUCGAAAGAGAACCGGAACACAGGUGCUGCAUGGCUGUCGUCAGCUCGUGUCGUGAGAUGUUGGGUUAAGUCCCGCAACGAGCGCAACCCUUGUCAUUAGUUGCCAUCAUUUGGUUGGGCACUCUAAUGAGACUGCCGGUGACAAACCGGAGGAAGGUGGGGAUGACGUCAAGUCCUCAUGGCCCUUAUGGGUAGGGCUUCACACGUCAUACAAUGGUCGGUACAGAGGGUUGCCAACCCGCGAGGGGGAGCUAAUCCCACAAAGCCGAUCGUAGUCCGGAUCGCAGUCUGCAACUCGACUGCGUGAAGUCGGAAUCGCUAGUAAUCGUGGAUCAGCAUGUCACGGUGAAUACGUUCCCGGGUCUU